This 497-nucleotide ribosomal RNA is filed under the name uncultured bacterium. RNAcentral describes it as "partial 16S ribosomal RNA". It matches the Rfam family "Bacterial small subunit ribosomal RNA", at positions 28 to 507 of the family's 1533-position model. The record is from RNAcentral.
GAUGAACGCUGGCGGCGUGCCUAAUACAUGCAAGUCGAGCGAACGGACGAGGAGCUUGCUUCUCUGAUGUUAGCGGCGGACGGGUGAGUAACACGUGGAUAACCUACCUAUAAGACUGGGAUAACUUCGGGAAACCGGAGCUAAUACCGGAUAAUAUUUUGAACCGCAUGGUUCAAAAGUGAAAGACGGUCUUGCUGUCACUUAUAGAUGGAUCCGCGCUGCAUUAGCUAGUUGGUAAGGUAACGGCUUACCAAGGCAACGAUGCAUAGCCGACCUGAGAGGGUGAUCGGCCACACUGGAACUGAGACACGGUCCAGACUCCUACGGGAGGCAGCAGUAGGGAAUCUUCCGCAAUGGGCGAAAGCCUGACGGAGCAACGCCGCGUGAGUGAUGAAGGUCUUCGGAUCGUAAAACUCUGUUACUAGGGAAGAACAUAUGUGUAAGUAACUGUGCACAUCUUGACGGUACCUAAUCAGAAAGCCACGGCUAACUACGUG